Molecule: non-coding RNA, 90 nt
Organism: Cercophora newfieldiana
Lineage: Eukaryota; Fungi; Ascomycota; Sordariomycetes; Sordariales; Lasiosphaeriaceae
Source: the annotation of a GenBank genome assembly
GUCACUAUGGCGGAGUGGUUAACGCGCUGCCCUGCUAUACCAGCAUAGGCAGUCCCUUCGGGGGCGUAGGUUCGAAUCCUACUGGUGACG